GUAGGGAAUAUUGCGCAAUGGGGGAAACCCUGACGCAGCGACGCCGCGUGAGUGAUGAAGGCCUUCGGGUCGUAAAGCUCUGUUGCAGGGGAAUAAAAAAAUGAAGGUACCCUGUGAGGAAGGAUCGGCUAACUUCGUGCCAGCAGCCGCGGUAAGACGAGGGAUCCUAGCGUUGCUCGGAAUCAUUGGGCGUAAAGAGGGCGUAGGUGGCUUGGUAAGUCAGGUGUGAAAGACCAGGGCUAAACCCUGAAAGUGCAUUUGAUACUGCUGAGCUUGAGUGUCGGAGAGGUUACCGGAAUACCUGGUGUAGUGGUGAAAUACGUAGAUAUCAGGUGGAACACCGGAGGCGAAGGCGGGUAACUGUACGAACACUGACACUGAGGCCCGAAAGCGUGGGGAUCAAACAGGAUUAGAUACCCGUGUAGUCC
RNAcentral lists this ribosomal RNA (428 nucleotides) under uncultured bacterium. RNAcentral describes it as "partial 16S ribosomal RNA". It matches the Rfam family "Bacterial small subunit ribosomal RNA", at positions 354 to 796 of the family's 1533-position model. The record is from RNAcentral.